ACGGGGCCUUGCAGAACAGUGGGGCAGCCUGUUGGAAUGCUCAGAAGUCACCAGCAGCAACAUGACACAUAGAGAAGAGCUCCAGGAGGCUGAAGAUGGCACAUCCUCUCCAAGCUGGAGCAGCUGGGAGAGGAAAACACAGCCAGACAACGGUGCUCGCCUCCUCCCCCCUAACCCCAGAGCUAAGCCAGUCCAGCUGUGAGGGGGAAGUGCCUCAGGUUCUGGGGGACAGACUCCAAGGCUGGGGCUCCAAGCAAGAUUUGGGAAGAGGAGAGGAUCCAUUUCUCUUCAGACAACAAAGCCCCCCACCCCCACCCCGAUUGCUGUAAGAGAAUG
Long non-coding RNA from Mustela lutreola (European mink), 336 nucleotides. RefSeq lists it as uncharacterized. The transcript has 3 exons. NCBI's taxonomy places the organism in Eukaryota, Metazoa, Chordata, Mammalia, Carnivora, Mustelidae. The record is from RefSeq and is a predicted model, not a curated record.